This 454-nucleotide ribosomal RNA is filed under the name uncultured Prevotella sp. RNAcentral's name for it is "bacterial SSU rRNA". It matches the Rfam family "Bacterial small subunit ribosomal RNA", at positions 341 to 792 of the family's 1533-position model. The record is from RNAcentral. Lineage: Bacteria; Pseudomonadati; Bacteroidota; Bacteroidia; Bacteroidales; Prevotellaceae.
ACGGGAGGCAGCAGUGAGGAAUAUUGGUCAAUGGACGAGAGUCUGAACCAGCCAAGUAGCGUGCAGGAUGACGGCCCUAUGGGUUGUAAACUGCUUUUGUUGGGGAAUAAAUUGCGGGACGUGUCCCGCUUUGCAUGUACCCUUCGAAUAAGGACCGGCUAAUUCCGUGCCAGCAGCCGCGGUAAUACGGAAGGUCCGGGCGUUAUCCGGAUUUAUUGGGUUUAAAGGGAGCGUAGGCCGAACGUUAAGCGUGUUGUGAAAUGUAGUUGCUCAACAUCUGCACUGCAGCGCGAACUGGCGAUCUUGAGUGCGCGGGAAGUUGGCGGAAUUCGUUGUGUAGCGGUGAAAUGCUUAGAUAUGACGAAGAACUCCGAUUGCGAAGGCAGCUGACUGUAGCGUUACUGACGCUGAAGCUCGAAAGUGCGGGUAUCGAACAGGAUUAGAUACCCUGGUA